This 120-nucleotide ribosomal RNA is filed under the name uncultured bacterium. RNAcentral's name for it is "partial 16S ribosomal RNA". It matches the Rfam family "Bacterial small subunit ribosomal RNA", at positions 215 to 334 of the family's 1533-position model. The record is from RNAcentral.
UCGGUCAGGGAUGGACUCGCGGCCUAUCAGCUUGUUGGUGAGGUAACGGCUCACCAAGGCGACGACGGGUAGCCGGCCUGAGAGGGCGACCGGCCACACUGGGACUGAGACACGGCCCAG